GUUUUUUUCAAGAUACGGAAAGGAUCGAUUUCCUCCUUCCUUUUCUCCAUGAUUGACAUAUUUUUUAAUACGUGGAACGUACCUGCAGAAGGAGCAGUCCCCGCAUGGAGCUGAUCCAUGGUAUCUCUCAACUCUCCUGCCACGUUUGGCUCCUUCUUCCAUGAGCUCGAUUGUACGCAUUUCUCAAGGAUCUUUUGGGGUAACCCCUCUUUCUGAACCUUUGAAGCAGUUGUUGACUCUCCCGAGAAAAGGAGGCUUCAUCCGAGCAGUUACGACGUGCUCUUAAAUAUUGGCCUAUAGGAAUGCCUUUCUUAAGGGAAACUGGAUGCCAACUGUUCCAAUGCAGGGUUUCUAGGGCUUCUUGUUCCUGAGUGUUCAAAUUUGGUUCGAUAUGUUCCUUCCUCAUCUGUAAUGAUUUGAUGUCCUGUGUGACCAGCUGUACAAAGAGCCAGUUUCCGUGCGAAGAGGUUCACAUCUUUAAUCCAAAGGAAUUUAUCACAUUGGGGGACCGGGGCAAAGGUCAAGGAAUUCUGGGUGUGGGGUGAACUCCUGUAUUUCUUGGAUCUCCUUCUCGAGCUGUUGGUCGAUUUUAUUAAAGAAAACUUUUUCGUAUUCAGACAGAUAUU
Bufo bufo (common toad) is the source of this 626-nucleotide long non-coding RNA. RefSeq lists it as uncharacterized. The record is from RefSeq and is a predicted model, not a curated record. NCBI's taxonomy places the organism in Eukaryota, Metazoa, Chordata, Amphibia, Anura, Bufonidae. The transcript has 6 exons.